AAUGGUGGUGUCAAACUACAUAAAUUUCUGCUUACUAAAUACACUUAUACUAUACCUUUCCAGAUGUUUCUUUAGCUUAUUCAAUUACCAAAAUUGGAGUAGAAAUUGUCCAGAGGUUUGUUCACUAUAACAACACGAGAGGAAACCUAAAGUUCAUUUAUUUAGGUGGUUGGAUUGAUGAAAAUUGAAGGGGAAGGAGUUAAAGUGGAAAAGGGAUGAUCACUCCUCUCAGUUCUAAGGAGGAGACUAGUUAAUCAUACCAAGCAACUUCAUCAGGUUCCUUCAGAUAAAGUAUGUACAAGCUGGGCUGUUUCAAAUUUCCUUCUAUAAAGCGUAAAGUAUUCAUUUGUUAAGAUAAUAUUAAGAGGGAGGUGCUUAGGAACCUGAGACACACUCUCCUCGUUCUCAUCUUCCUUUCUCUUCCCUCAUUUCUAUACCAUGUCAUAUGAAAGCAUGAUGGAGAGCAAAAACAGACUACAUGUUUACAUAAACUAAUCCCAGUUUUCGUUUCAUCUAUAACUAACUUAUUCUCGAUGAUUAAAACUAUAAAAGAAAAAAAAAA
Molecule: long non-coding RNA, 562 nt
Filed under: Panax ginseng (ginseng)
Lineage: Eukaryota; Viridiplantae; Streptophyta; Magnoliopsida; Apiales; Araliaceae
Description: long non-coding RNA (PGIN_LNC014181)
Source: RNAcentral